GGCAACGUCUCUCUCGGUGAACAGGCUGCCGACCGUCGGCUGUUUCCACAAUGUCUGGAGAAUUAUUUUAACGGAGUAGGAGCCGAGAGGAGCCGCCGGAGCAGCGUUAGAGUUACACUGCGAGCAGCUGGAGGAACAAAGAAUCCUGUCUUCAAAGGGAGCUGAAUGUGGGCCACCUGAGUUACUUCGCCUGUAAGCAUUUUGUUGAAUCACCGUGCCCUAUCUUGGCAGAGGUGACUCAUCAGUUGUUUUUUUUUUCUUGUUACUUUAUUCUUGAAGAGGAUUUUAAGGAACUUACUCACAAGCAUUCAAUCAUGGUCAUCUGUUGGGUGAACAAUGAAAUCUUUCCAAGAUCAUCUUUUGUGAUAGUUGUC
Amphiprion ocellaris (clown anemonefish) is the source of this 374-nucleotide long non-coding RNA. Lineage: Eukaryota; Metazoa; Chordata; Actinopteri; Pomacentridae. The record is from Ensembl.